CCGCCCAAGGCGCCGCCGAUGGCCGCGCGGGUGUCGUCGCCUGCGAAGGCGGUACUACCGACCAGACUCAGGGACAACAGGAGUAUCGAGGAAUACUUCAUAGAGAGUUUCUCUCUGUGGGGAUGACGGCUGCGAUGCUGGGGUUGGCCCAAACCGCUGACAAGCGCCAGCCGACGAUUGGUAGAGCAAAUUCGAAAUAUUCCAAGUACUUGUUUUGUAUGGGGAACUUUCUUAAGUAGAGGCGGUCGUAGACCGAAUGUGAAGCGCGAUUUCAGGGUCGAAAUCGGUAUUUUUGCUGGCGGGAUGCUGGCCAUUCUAACGCCGACGAGCGGCCUGCCUUCAAGGCCUUUCAUCGACUUUUUCCUUAAGACGCCGCCUCCUGUUGCAGGAGGCGGCGUU
This is a small RNA of Pseudomonas aeruginosa PAO1, 399 nucleotides long. It matches the Rfam family "Pseudomonas sRNA P34". Lineage: Bacteria; Pseudomonadati; Pseudomonadota; Gammaproteobacteria; Pseudomonadales; Pseudomonadaceae. The record is from Rfam.